RNAcentral lists this ribosomal RNA (393 nucleotides) under uncultured bacterium. RNAcentral's name for it is "bacterial SSU rRNA". It matches the Rfam family "Bacterial small subunit ribosomal RNA", at positions 29 to 416 of the family's 1533-position model. The record is from RNAcentral.
AUUGAACGCUGGCGGCAGGCCUAACACAUGCAAGUCGAACGGUAGCACAGGAGAGCUUGCUCUCUGGGUGACGAGUGGCGGACGGGUGAGUAAUGCAUGGGGAGCUGCCCAAUCGAGGGGGAUACCAGCUGGAAACGGCUGCUAAUACCGCAUACGCCCUGAGGGGAAAAGGUGGGGACCUUCGGGCCUACCGCGAUUGGAUGCACCCAUGUGGGAUUAGCUAGUUGGUGAGGUAACGGCUCACCAAGGCGACGAUCUCUAGCUGGUCUGAGAGGAUGACCAGCCACACUGGAACUGAGACACGGUCCAGACUCCUACGGGAGGCAGCAGUGGGGAAUAUUGCACAAUGGGGGGAAACCCUGAUGCAGCCAUGCCGCGUGUGUGAAGAAGGCC